CGGUAAUUCCAGCUCCAAUAGCGUAUACUAAAGUUGUUGCAGUUAAAAAGCUCGUAGUUGGAUUUCUGUGUGAGAGGGACGGGAAGGCGCAAGCGUUUUUUCUGACCUUUUGCACAUCCUGUCGCAAACCACGGUGCUCUUUACUGUAGUGUCGUUGGGGAUCGACUCGUUUACUUUGAGAAAAAUAGAGUGUUCAAAGCAGGGUAUGCCUCUGAAUAAGUUAGCAUGGAAUAAUGAUAAAGGACUUCGGUUCAUUUUGUUGGUGUUUGGGACUGAAGUAAUGAUUGAUAGGGACAGUUGGGGGCAUCAGUAUUCAAAAGCGAGAGGUGAAAUUCUUAGACCUUUUGAAGACUAACCGCUGCGAAAGUGUUUGCCAAGGAUGUUCCCUUUGAUCAAGAACUAAAGUUUGGGGAUCGAAGACGAUCAGAUACCGUCGUAGUCUGAACUAUAAACUAUACCAGCUAGGGAUCGGCCGGCGUAAUAUUUAAGGACUCGGUCGGCACCUUAUGAGAAAUUAAAGCAUUUGGGUUCCGGGGGGAGUAUGGUCGCAAGGCUGAAACUUAAAGGAAUUGACGGAAGGGCACCACCAGGUGUGGAGCCUGUGGCUUAAUUUGACUCAACACGGGAAAACUUACCAGGUCCAGACAUAGUAAGGAUUGACAGAUUGAGAGCUCUUUCUUGAUUCUAUGGAUGGUGGUGCAUGGCCGUUCUUAGUUGGUGGAGUGAUUUGUCUGGUUAAUUCCGUUAACGAACGAGACCCCAGCCUGCUAAAUAGCUGAAGUAAGGUUUUCCUUGCUAUGAGCUUCUUAGAGGGACCAUAGACUCGUCUACAGACUAGGGAAGUUUGGGGCAAUAACAGGUCUGUGAUGCCCUUAGAUGUUCUGGGCCGCACACGGGCUACACUGACGCCUGCAACGAGCAUAUCAGCUGGUCCGAAAGGAUCUUGGCUAAUCUUUUGAACUUGCGUCGUGCUAGGGAUUGACUAUUGCAAUUGUUAGUCAUGCAACGAGGAAUACCUUGUAAACGCGAGUCAUCAACUCGCAUUGAAUACGUCCCUGCCCUUUGUACACACCGCCC
This 1077-nucleotide ribosomal RNA is filed under the name uncultured Rhizaria. RNAcentral's name for it is "SSU rRNA". It matches the Rfam family "Eukaryotic small subunit ribosomal RNA", at positions 577 to 1674 of the family's 1831-position model. The record is from RNAcentral.